Molecule: long non-coding RNA, 3145 nt
Organism: Oxyura jamaicensis (ruddy duck)
Lineage: Eukaryota; Metazoa; Chordata; Aves; Anseriformes; Anatidae
Exons: 3
Source: RefSeq, a predicted model, not a curated record
AAAAAAAAAAAAAAAAAAAAAAAGUAAAGCCCUUCCUUAUCCCUUCUUCUGGAUAUUUUUUUUUCUUCUAUAUUUAUUAUUUUAUUCUGGAUAUUAUUAGAGUCUGGUGCUGGAUGGAAACUCUUAAGAGACUGUUCUAACUUUCACUAUACUAAAUAGCAAAACGAAAUCAAAGGAUUUGAUAUAUAUAUUUUUUUCAUAACUGGUGAAAAACUAACACUAUGUUCUUACUGAGAGUCUGACACUUUGAAGAGUAUCAUUUCUAGCCCAUGCACUGUGGUUUGCCUUCCCCCAGCUCUUCCAAGGGUGUUGGAGGAGUUUGUAUGUCCCUGUGGGCCCUUCCUUCUGCCUGUAACCCUUCCUAAAAUCUGCCCAUUGGGUCAGAAAAAAGGGGCAGGAAACCCUCCAGGGACCCUCAACCCAGGAAUGUAUACAUUCAGGCUAAAGUUAUUCUAUAGAAAUGGGAUAGGGCAGGAAGAAGUGUUGUGAAAGUCCUUGCAUGGUUACUUGUGACCUGCAAUGGCUUGAUUUACUAAGACAAAGAUCAAAUAUUUCAAUAUAAUUAAUUGUAAUUAGCACUCAGUGGUUUUAGGAGUUCAUUUCCAGCCCCAGUGAUCAAUCAGCUGUCACCGGGACUCAGCUGGGCUCCACAAGACGUCCUUUGAAGCCUUGCCAAGUGACAGCUUCAACCCCCUUGCACAGACCAUACAGUAAUUGCCUUCUCUUUUCAGUGCGGGAGAUACGCUUUGUUUGAAGGAGCUCCUCUGCCAUGCUUUUUGUGUGAUAUUCAAUGGAAAAACGCUCCGCAGCACAUGCCAGGAGGAAGCCUACAGGUGCUGUCUUUCACGGUGAAAUUUUUGGAGGGUGGCUGUGAAUUUUUUUUUCCCUUUUCCACAUUCCUGUUUGGGUUGCACAGUGACACAGGUGAACUGCAAGUCUCACUGACAACAGCUGAAAAUACUUGGUGAUUUGUGCUUCCAGCAGCUCAGAAAGGAGCUCCAUUUGGUGGCAGAAAACAAUUUGGCUCCAUGAGGUGGUGGAGGUCCAGAGAAGUAGCCAGUACUUCAUCCCCAUAGCCUUGCCCAUGGUUGUCCCAGAGAGCCUGGCCAAAGGAGCUUGAAGCAUUUCUGUGAGUCUACAUCGGCUCGGAAGCCAUGCAAGAUCUGUAGUAUGCACCAGAUCAGAGACAACUUCUGCAUCUGUGCCCUUCACUUCUGUCCCCAGUACCAGGGCCACGUGUGGAGGUCUUGGUGAAAUUGCUGCGGCUGCCUUUAAGAGCCAUAAAGUAAGUAACACAAGCAUCGCGCUCCAAAUGGUCCCAAAGGAGCUGCUUAGGAGUUCAAAAGUGCGUCUUGAAUUCGACAGGAGCAAAACUGGGCUUGUGAGUAGGUGUCCAGCUCCAGCUGGCUCUCACAGGGCUCAGCCCCACGCUGCUUUGUGGAGGAGAAAAUUGCAUUUUUAUUAGAUUAUUUUAACCAUUUUCAAAUAGCACCAGGGUGGCCCCAUGGCUUCCUCCCCAGUUUGGGUCUGCUCGUGGCUGGAAAGCCAAGAGAUUGUUAGCAGGAUCUCUGGCACUCACCCCAGUAUUUCAUUUUUUUGGACUACAACCCAUUCAUCCUUCAGCUAAUAUGCUACAGAGCAAAUAUCUGCUACGUUUUAUGUAAGCAGUAAUAGAACUGUUUGCCUAAAUUGUUUUCUUUUUUUUUCACCCUUUCCAAGAGGGAGGCAGAACAAAUGUUUAUCUUCCCCAGACCUAUAGUGCCUACCUUUAGGCACUUUUUUUUUUUUGGUCUCAUUUCUCCAUGAUACAGUCAAGCGUCCCCACAGAUGACCAAGCACAUUCCUUUAGAAAUGGAUUUACUGCUUGGUGACUGCAAUUCUUCUAGAAGCACACCCUGGAAAGCCUUUUUAGUACCUAAAAUGUGGGAUUUACUCAUCCUGGUGUGGGGAAGCAGGCUCCCAUGAUGGGACAGCCUCCCGAUUAGGAGUAAUCAGUCAGGUUAAUGAGCCAGGGACUAAUCCUUUGUAUUCCUUUGGAGCUACUCCAGCACCCCAAACGAUGUGAGGUGAAUGGGAGGUUUUAAUGAAUUACGGCCCCUCUUUCUCCUUCUUCUAUCCUCCAUCUCUUCAUCCUCCUUUUCCCACCCCUCCUCCUCCUCCUCACCAGGCCCUUGUUUCAUGGAGAGAGCAGAGGAGUUUUAAUCCCCCCAUAAAUCCCUGAUGCCCUAAAUCCCUCCCAGAGCUGGCAAUGGCAGGGAAAGUUUUGGAUGUGGUGAUGGGAUAGGGUGAGGUGGGGAGGACCUGCACAGGUGGGAAAUGAGGGUGGCAGGGUAUAAGGAGCCGUGGCUGCAGGGUGGUGGUGAUGCUUGCUGUGUGCUGUAUCUUCAUGGGUUUUGUGUAUUUACUUAUUUUUUUCUCUGUUAAAAUAGCUCACCUCCACCAGAGCAGAAAGCGGCUGUUUGUAUUUUCCUGUAUUGCAGCAGUGCUUCUGCGAAGUUUUGGGUGUUUUUUCCCUCCAGCAGGUAAGAUGAAACCAUACGCUUCAUCUAGGCAGGAUUAAUCUACUCUUAUCUCCUCCAGAAGGUCUGUCUGCAUAAAGGGGGUGAUGUGCUUUCCUUUUAGUAACCCAGAAGAGCACAAAGACCCCCUCACCAACACUAUAGCUUCCUCAGGUGGACACUGAGAGAAGAGAAAUACUUCACAGUGGCUAUAAUGUAGUUGAGUGGCAAAUGACUUCAUUAAGCUGGCAGUGAUAAUUAGUUCAAUCAGCUGAAGUGCGGCUCAGUACAGCACACUUCAGAGGAGCGUGGCGUGGCAGGGGCUGCUGCUGCUGGCUGGGAAAUCAUCCUCGGCCCGAUGCAUCUUCAGGCAGGGUGUCUUCCUGCUCCACCCGUCAUCUUUGCAAUUAAUUUCCUGCUUUAAUUAAUUCCCUGAUGCCACUCGGUGAGGCCAGGCUGAGCUUCUGGGAAGAAAUCACAGCUUAUCUGUGAUUCAAGCUGCAGGAAAAUGUCCCAUUCACCCCAAAACCCCAGUGACUUCUCUGCCUGAAAUCCCACCGUGCUGUGAGCCUACCCCAAGCACCUGGUGUCCCCGAGCCCCACCAGGGAACAGCAUGGGUCUGUGGUUGCCUUUCUCUUGAAGGGGG